GACGAACGCUGGCGGCGUGCUUAACACAUGCAAGUCGAACGAAGCGGCUUACGCUUGCUGGCGUACACGAGUGGCGAACGGGUGAGUAACACGUGGGUGACAUGCCCCGCACUUCGGGCUAAGACAGGGGAACAAGGGCUAAUAACGGCUACGAAUGCACCGUGAGGGCGCGGUGGAACGUCUUUUGGUGUGGGAUAGGCCCGCGGCAUAUCAGCGUGUCUGUGUGGUAAGGCCGUAUCAAGGCGGCGCGGCGUAGCCUGGCAGAGAGGGUUGGCGGCCCCAUUGGGACUGAGACACGGCCCAGACUACUACGGGACGCAGCGGUGGGGAAUAGUGCACAAUGGGCGGAAGCCUGAUGUAGCGACGCCGCGCGGGGGAUGACAGCCAUCGGUUUGGAAACUCCUGUCACCAUCGCCGAAAGGUUACUGACGGUAGCUGAAUAAGAAGCACCGGCUAACUACGUG
This 464-nucleotide ribosomal RNA is filed under the name uncultured bacterium. RNAcentral describes it as "partial 16S ribosomal RNA". It matches the Rfam family "Bacterial small subunit ribosomal RNA", at positions 28 to 507 of the family's 1533-position model. The record is from RNAcentral.